AGUACGCCGGCAACGGUGAAACUCAAAGGAAUUGACGGGGGCCCGCACAAGCGGAGGAACAUGUGGUUUAAUUCGAUGAUACGCGAGGAACCUUACCCGGGCUUGAAAUGUACCUGACCGUCCUUGAAAAGGGACUUCUAGCAAUAGCAGGUAUGUAGGUGCUGCAUGGUUGUCGUCAGCUCGUGCCGUGAGGUGUCGGCUUAAGUGCCAUAACGAGCGCAACCCACAUUAUUAGUUACUAACAGGUUAAGCUGAGGACUCUAAUAAGACUGCCGUCGUAAGAUGCGAGGAAGGUGUGGAUGACGUCAAAUCAGCACGGCCCUUACGUCCGGGGCGACACACGUGUUACAAUGGGAGGUACAAAGGGCUGCUACCUGGUGACAGGAUGCUAAUCCCCAAAGCCUCUCCCAGUUCGGAUCGGAGUCUGCAACUCGACUCCGUGAAGCUGGAUUCGCUAGUAAUCGCGCAUCAGCCAUGGCGCGGUGAAUACGUUCCCGGGCCUUGUACACACCGCCCGUCAAGCCAUGGGAGCCGGGGGUAUCUGAAGUGCGUAACCGCAAGGAGCGUCCUAGGGUAAAACUGGUGACUGGGGCUAAGUCGUAACAAGG
RNAcentral lists this ribosomal RNA (608 nucleotides) under uncultured Dysgonomonas sp. RNAcentral's name for it is "bacterial SSU rRNA". It matches the Rfam family "Bacterial small subunit ribosomal RNA", at positions 879 to 1496 of the family's 1533-position model. Lineage: Bacteria; Pseudomonadati; Bacteroidota; Bacteroidia; Bacteroidales; Dysgonomonadaceae. The record is from RNAcentral.